AUAUCCCUACGGGGGGCAGCAGUAGGGAAUCUUCCACAAUGGGCGAAAGCCUGAUGGAGUAACGCCGCGUGGGUGAAGAAGGUCUUCGGAUCGUAAAACCCUGUUGUUAGAGAAGAAAGUGCGUGAGAGUAACUGUUCACAUUUCGACGGUAUCUAACCAGAAAGCCACGGCUAACUACGUGCCAGCAGCCGCGGUAAUACGUAGGUGGCAAGCGUUAUCCGGAUUUAUUGGGCGUAAAGGGAACGCAGGCGGUCUUUUAAGGCUGAUGUGAAAGCCUUCGGCUUAACCGGCGUAGUGCAUUGGG
RNAcentral lists this ribosomal RNA (305 nucleotides) under uncultured bacterium. RNAcentral describes it as "bacterial SSU rRNA". It matches the Rfam family "Bacterial small subunit ribosomal RNA", at positions 333 to 630 of the family's 1533-position model. The record is from RNAcentral.